RNAcentral lists this ribosomal RNA (801 nucleotides) under uncultured bacterium. RNAcentral's name for it is "bacterial SSU rRNA". It matches the Rfam family "Bacterial small subunit ribosomal RNA", at positions 87 to 884 of the family's 1533-position model. The record is from RNAcentral.
GGUGACGAGCGGCGGACGGGUGAGUAAUGUCUGGGAAACUGCCUGAUGGAGGGGGAUAACUACUGGAAACGGUAGCUAAUACCGCAUAACGUCGCAAGACCAAAGAGGGGGACCUUCGGGCCUCUUGCCAUCAGAUGUGCCCAGAUGGGAUUAGCUAGUAGGUGGGGUAAUGGCUCACCUAGGCGACGAUCCCUAGCUGGUCUGAGAGGAUGACCAGCCACACUGGAACUGAGACACGGUCCAGACUCCUACGGGAGGCAGCAGUGGGGAAUAUUGCACAAUGGGCGCAAGCCUGAUGCAGCCAUGCCGCGUGUGUGAAGAAGGCCUUCGGGUUGUAAAGCACUUUCAGCGAGGAGGAAGGUGGUGAGCUUAAUACGCUCAUCAAUUGACGUUACUCGCAGAAGAAGCACCGGCUAACUCCGUGCCAGCGGCCGCGGUAAUACGGAGGGUGCAAGUGUUAAUCGGAAUUACUGGGCGUAAAGCGCACGCAGGCGGUUUGUUAAGUCAGAUGUGAAAUCCCCGGGCUCAACCUGGGAACUGCAUUUGAAACUGGCAAGCUAGAGUCUCGUAGAGGGGGGUAGAAUUCCAGGUGUAGCGGUGAAAUGCGUAGAGAUCUGGAGGAAUACCGGUGGCGAAGGCGGCCCCCUGGACGAAGACUGACGCUCAGGUGCGAAAGCGUGGGGAGCAAACAGGAUUAGAUACCCUGGUAGUCCACGCUGUAAACGAUGUCGAUUUGGAGGUUGUGCCCUUGAGGCGUGGCUUCCGGAGCUAACGCGUUAAAUCGACCGCCUGGGGAGUACG